RNAcentral lists this ribosomal RNA (508 nucleotides) under Anguilla nebulosa (mottled eel). Its description in RNAcentral is "partial large subunit ribosomal RNA". It matches the Rfam family "Bacterial large subunit ribosomal RNA", at positions 1952 to 2591 of the family's 2925-position model. Lineage: Eukaryota; Metazoa; Chordata; Actinopteri; Anguilliformes; Anguillidae. The record is from RNAcentral.
GAAGGUAGCGUAAUCAUUUGUCUUUUAAAUAGAGACCUGUAUGAAUGGCAUAACGAGGGUUUAACUGUCUCCCUCCCCUAGUCAAUGAAAUUGAUCUGCCCGUGCAGAAGCGGACAUAAACACAUAAGACGAGAAGACCCUAUGGAGCUUUAGACAAAAGAUCAAACAUGUAAAGAAACCUAGAUAACUAAAAGGAACACAAAGGCCACAAAACCAAACGUAAUAUGAUCCAAAUGUCUUCGGUUGGGGCGACCACGGGGGAAAGAAAAGCCCCCACGAGGAACUAGGGGCAAUCCAUUAAGUCAAGAGAUACACCUCUAAGCAACAGAAAAUCUGACCAAAAAUGACCCAGGACACUAAUCCUGAUCAACGAACCAAGUUACCCUAGGGAUAACAGCGCAAUCCUUUCCCAGAGUCCAUAUCGACGAAAGGGUUUACGACCUCGAUGUUGGAUCAGGACAUCCUAAUGGUGCAGCCGCUAUUAAGGGUUCGUUUGUUCAACGAUUAA